CUGUAGCGGAAUGGACAGCGCGUUGGACUUCUAAUCCAAAGGUCGUGGGUUCUAACCCCACCUGAACGA
Molecule: transfer RNA, 69 nt
Filed under: Trichonephila clavata
Lineage: Eukaryota; Metazoa; Arthropoda; Arachnida; Araneae; Nephilidae
Description: tRNA-Arg
Rfam family: tRNA
About the family: Transfer RNA (tRNA) molecules are approximately 80 nucleotides in length. Their secondary structure includes four short double-helical elements and three loops (D, anti-codon, and T loops).
Source: RNAcentral